UUUUAAUAUUUUCAUUACUUUGUACUGCUAAAAACUGUCACGGUUAAUAAAAUAAUCAGGCAAUGACACGUGAUAUGUCACGUGUAUUUCAUGCUGAAAUACAUGAGCUAGUUUUAACAGUAAAAAUAGAUUAAAUUUUUAAUA
Gossypium arboreum is the source of this 144-nucleotide microRNA precursor. It matches the Rfam family "MIR7502 microRNA precursor family". NCBI's taxonomy places the organism in Eukaryota, Viridiplantae, Streptophyta, Magnoliopsida, Malvales, Malvaceae. The record is from Rfam.